UAACAAGAUAAAGUAGUAGUGGUGGUAAUGGAAGUGACAAUGAUUAAGUAGUGAUAGUGAUGGUAUAACAGGUAAAAGUAACGAUAGCGGUGACAGUAUAGAGUAAUAAUGUAAUAACAGUAUUGGACGGAUAGUAGUAAUAAUGGUAGUGGUGACAGUGUAGAGUAAUAAUGUAAUAACAGUAUUGGACGGAUAGUAGUAAUAAUGGUAGUGGUGACAGUG
RNAcentral lists this unclassified non-coding RNA (222 nucleotides) under Hevea brasiliensis (rubber tree). Lineage: Eukaryota; Viridiplantae; Streptophyta; Magnoliopsida; Malpighiales; Euphorbiaceae. The record is from RNAcentral.